This 73-nucleotide transfer RNA is filed under the name Yasminevirus sp. GU-2018. It matches the Rfam family "tRNA". Rfam says of the family: Transfer RNA (tRNA) molecules are approximately 80 nucleotides in length. Their secondary structure includes four short double-helical elements and three loops (D, anti-codon, and T loops). The record is from Rfam by way of RNAcentral. Lineage: Varidnaviria; Bamfordvirae; Nucleocytoviricota; Megaviricetes; Imitervirales; Mimiviridae.
ACCCACAUAUUACAACGGAUUAGUAUACGAGGUUUUCAACCUUGAGACCCGGGUUCGACUCCCGGUGUGGGUA